Molecule: ribosomal RNA, 508 nt
Filed under: uncultured bacterium
Lineage: Bacteria
Description: partial 16S ribosomal RNA
Rfam family: Bacterial small subunit ribosomal RNA
Source: RNAcentral
AAUGAACGCUGGCGGCAGGCCUAACACAUGCAAGUCGAGCGGCAGCGGGAAAGUAGCUUGCUACUUUUGCCGGCGAGCGGCGGACGGGUGAGUAAUGCCUGGGAAAUUGCCCAGUCGAGGGGGAUAACAGUUGGAAACGACUGCUAAUACCGCAUACGCCCUACGGGGGAAAGCAGGGGACCUUCGGGCCUUGCGCGAUUGGAUAUGCCCAGGUGGGAUUAGCUAGUUGGUGAGGUAAUGGCUCACCAAGGCGACGAUCCCUAGCUGGUCUGAGAGGAUGAUCAGCCACACUGGAACUGAGACACGGUCCAGACUCGUACGGGAGGCAGCAGUGGGGAAUAUUGCACAAUGGGGGAAACCCUGAUGCAGCCAUGCCGCGUGUGUGAAGAAGGCCUUCGGGUUGUAAAGCACUUUCAGCGAGGAGGAAAGGUUGAUGCCUAAUACGCAUCAACUGUGACGUUACUCGCAGAAGAAGCACCGGCUAACUCCGUGCCAGCCGCCGCCGUAA